AUGAAGGUCAGAGUAAAUCGAUUUGUCCACAUUGGAUGCCUGGUCACCAAGAUGCUUUUAACUCUGUCAAAAUGGAUAUUGCACAUCAAUGACCCCUUCACUGACCUCAGCUACAUAGUCUACAUGCUCCAGUAUGAUUCCACCCAUAGCAAGUUAUGCCACAAUCAGGCUGAGAAUGGGAAGCUUGUCAUCAACGGAAGGCCCAUCUUCAUCUUCUAGGAGCAAGCUUCCACCCACAUCAAAUGGGGUGAUGCUGGUGCUAAAUAUGUUGUAGAAUCCACUGAUGUCUUCACUAACUUGGACAAGGUUAGGGCUUAUGAAAGGAUGGAGCCAAAAGGGUCAUCCUCAUCUCUGUCCAUUCUGCUGAUGUCCGCAUGUUUGGGCAUAAACCUUGAGAAGUAUGACAAUAACCUCAAGAUUGUCAGCAAUGACUCCUCUACCACCAACUGCUUGGGUCCUCUGGGCAAGGUCAUCCAUGAUGACUUUGGCAUGAUGGAGGGACUCAUGGCCACGGUCUAUGCCAUCACUGCCACCCAGAAGAUCGCAGAUGGCUGCUCUGGGAAGCUGUGGUAUUAUGCCUGAGGGGCUGCCCAGAAGACCAUCAUCCCUGCUUCUAUGGGUACUGCUAAGGCUGUGGGCAAGGUGACCCCUGAGCUGAAUUGGAAGCUCACUGGCAUGGCCUCCCAGAUCCCAGAUCCCAGCUCCAAUGAGUCAAGAAUCUAACCUGUGGUCUGGAGAAAGCCACCAAAUGUGAUGACAUUGAGAAAGAAGGUGGUGAAGCAGGCAAUAGAGGGCCCCCUAAAGGGCAUCCUGGGUUACAUUGAGGACAGGCUGCCUCCUGCGACUUUAACAGUGAUACUCCCACUUUCACCUUUGAUGCUGGGCUGGCAUUGCUCUCGAUGACUGCUUUGUCAAACAUUUCUUGUUAUGACAAUGGGUUUGGCUACAGCAAAAGGGUGGUGGGUUUUAUGGUCCAUAUGGCUUCCAAGGAGUAA
Molecule: RNA transcript, 995 nt
Organism: Lipotes vexillifer (Yangtze River dolphin)
Lineage: Eukaryota; Metazoa; Chordata; Mammalia; Artiodactyla; Lipotidae
Gene name: glyceraldehyde-3-phosphate dehydrogenase pseudogene
Exons: 1
Source: RefSeq, a predicted model, not a curated record